RNAcentral lists this ribosomal RNA (419 nucleotides) under uncultured eukaryote. RNAcentral describes it as "bacterial SSU rRNA". It matches the Rfam family "Eukaryotic small subunit ribosomal RNA", at positions 592 to 1013 of the family's 1831-position model. The record is from RNAcentral.
CAAUAGCGUAUAUUAAAGUUGUUGCGGUUAAAAAAGCUCGUAGUUGGAUUUCUGCUGAGGACGACCGGUCCGCCCUCCGGGUGAGCAUCUGGUUCGGCCUUGGCAUCUUCUUGGUGAACGUAUCUGCACUUGACUGUGUGGUGCGGUACCCAGGACUUUUACUUUGAGGAAAUUAGAGUGUUUAAAGCAGGCUUAUGCCGUUGAAUAUAUUAGCAUGGAAUAAUAAGAUAGGACUUUGGAACUAUUUUGUUGGUUUGCGUUACAAAGUAAUGAUUAAUAGGGACAGUUGGGGGGCAUUCAUAUUCCAUUGUCAGAGGUGAAAUUCUUGGAUUAACGGAAGAUGAACUUCUGCGAAAGCAUCUGCCAAGGAUGUUUUCAUUGAUCAAGAACGAAAGUUAGGGGAUCGAAGAUGAUCAGAU